UACGUAGGGGGCUAGCGUUGUCCGGAAUCAUUGGGCGUAAAGCGCGUGUAGGCGGUCCGGUAAGUCCGCUGUGAAAGUCGAGGGCUCAACCCUCGAAUGCCGGUGGAUACUGUCGGGCUUGAGUACGGGAGAGGCGAGUGGAAUUCCUGGUGUAGCGGUGAAAUGCGCAGAUAUCAGGAGGAACACCGGUGGCGAAGGCGGCCCUCUGGACGGAUACUGACGCUGAGGCGCGAAAGCGUGGGGAUCAAACAGG
This 253-nucleotide ribosomal RNA is filed under the name uncultured bacterium. RNAcentral describes it as "partial 16S ribosomal RNA". It matches the Rfam family "Bacterial small subunit ribosomal RNA", at positions 524 to 776 of the family's 1533-position model. The record is from RNAcentral.